AUCCACUUAUACGGCCAAAACAAAUGAGUACAAACGUUAACAAGAAUGCUAGAAUAAACAUAGAUCACAAGGCUCGAAAAAGAUGUUCAGAUUACAAAAAUAACUCCAGCAUUUUAGAGUCUGCAUUAAAAAUCUUAAAGGCUGACAGUUAGCACGGUCACCCCCAUCAGUGAUAUAGUUAAAGCACAAACUAUCAAUGUGAGACUGAAAAUCUUCACAGGCCAUGAAUGUUCUACUACCUCUGGGAAAUCUGCUCCCUUAGUUCAUCUUCCAGUCAAACCUGCUUUUGCCGUCUCUAAAGGACUCCUAAAAAACUCUCAUCAAGCUUGUGAAGUGAGCUCUUUCUCCUAAGCAUUCAAGUUAGAAAUGACCUUGAGCAUCAUUCUUAGCCAUCAAGGAAGUCAAAUAAUGACUAGAGAAAUAAGAAUAUCGAGUCACUUGUGGAUAACAUGGACGAGAAAAUAAAGACAACAAUCAUAAAGAGAAAUACUCACCGCAAAGUAAGUUGAACCGACUCCGACGCAAGAUCUUUUGCAAGUUUAUCAAAGAUUUUAGAGGAAUAAAGUACCAU
This 571-nucleotide long non-coding RNA is filed under the name Panax ginseng (ginseng). RNAcentral describes it as "long non-coding RNA (PGIN_LNC001932)". The record is from RNAcentral. Lineage: Eukaryota; Viridiplantae; Streptophyta; Magnoliopsida; Apiales; Araliaceae.